GACGAACGCUGGCGGCGUGCCUAAUACAUGCAAGUCGAGCGAAUCAAUAGGAGCUUGCUCCUGUUGGUUAGCGGCGGACGGGUGAGUAACACGUGGGCAACCUGCCUGUAAGACUGGGAUAACUUCGGGAAACCGGAGCUAAUACCGGAUAAUCCUUUUCCACUCAUGUGGGAAAGCUGAAAGUCGGUUUCGGCUGACACUUACAGAUGGGCCCGCGGCGCAUUAGCUCGUUGGUGAGGUAACUGCGCACCAAGGCGACGAUGCGUAGCCGACCUGAGAGGGUGAUCGGCCACACUUGGACUGAGACACGGCCCAGACUCCUACGGGAGGCAGCAGUAGGGAAUCUUCCGCAAUGGACGAAAGUCUGACGGAGCAACGCCGCGUGAGCGAUGAAGGCCUUCGGGUCGUAAAGCUCUGUUGUUAGGGAAGAAUAAGUACCGGAGUAACUGCCGGUACCUUGACGGUACCUAACCAGAAAGCCACGGCUAACUACGUGCCAGCCGCCGCCGUAA
RNAcentral lists this ribosomal RNA (512 nucleotides) under uncultured bacterium. Its description in RNAcentral is "partial 16S ribosomal RNA". It matches the Rfam family "Bacterial small subunit ribosomal RNA", at positions 28 to 523 of the family's 1533-position model. The record is from RNAcentral.